AUGAGUGUCAUCAGUUGGAACUGUCGGGGGCUUGGGAACCCCGAGGCAGUUCGGGAGCUUCGCAGCGUCGUGAAGCAAGAAGGGCCUACCUUACUCUUUGUCAUGGAAACAAAGAUAAGGGCAGCAAGGGUGGAGAACCUGAAGUUCACUUUGGGUUUCGAGGGUUGUUUUGCAGUAAACAGUGUUGGUUUAAGCGGAGGCAUCUGA
This 207-nucleotide ribosomal RNA is filed under the name Triticum aestivum (bread wheat). Its description in RNAcentral is "partial small subunit ribosomal RNA". Lineage: Eukaryota; Viridiplantae; Streptophyta; Magnoliopsida; Poales; Poaceae. The record is from RNAcentral.